GACGAACGCUGGCGGCGUGCUUAACACAUGCAAGUCGAACGGAAAGGCCCUGCUUUUGUGGGGUGCUCGAGUGGCGAACGGGUGAGUAACACGUGUGUAACCUGCCCCUGACUUUGGGAUAAAUUCAGGAAAAUGGGGCGAAUACCGGGUAGGAUCUCCUGCAGCAUGGUGGUGGAUGGAAAGAUUCGGCGGUUGGAGAUCGAAUGGCUGCUUAUGAGCUUGAUUGUCUGGUAGGUGAUUACCAAGGGUUUGACGGGUAGCCGGCAUGAGAGGGUGGACGGCCACAAUAGGCCUACGGUAGGGCGCAGAAGCCUACGUGCGGCAGCAGUCGAGAACAUUGCACAGUGGGCGGAAGCCUGAGACAGCAACGCCGCGUGCGGGAUACCGGCUUUCGAGUUGUAAACCGCUUUGGCCUGUGACGAAGCGUGCGUGACGGUAAUGGGUCAGGAAGCAACGGCUAACUACGUG
This 468-nucleotide ribosomal RNA is filed under the name uncultured bacterium. RNAcentral's name for it is "partial 16S ribosomal RNA". It matches the Rfam family "Bacterial small subunit ribosomal RNA", at positions 28 to 507 of the family's 1533-position model. The record is from RNAcentral.